UAAGAUUAUCCAGUCAGAGCAGGAGACUAUUAUCCAAUAAGAGUUGUCAAAAAAAGUUCCUUCUCACCCAAUCAGAACCAAGCUUCCAAGAUACAGCGGUUGAGUACAGCCACUGUAAAAGGGAGGCGAAGGCCCAUUCUGCCAUUUUCUCUUCGUGGAGGUUGGGCUCGCGUGCUGCUCUGCGCUGUGGUCGUCAUGGACCGGAAGCGUGUGCGGCGCGCCUGCCUUGAGGCCAGCAGCAGGGAAGGGUGUUCCCAGGUGCAGAGGAAGUGUCCUUCACGUGUUCCUGGAGGACUUUCGGUUAGCAAGCACUUCUCCAUUCUCCCAACGUCUCGGGCCUGAUGGAGUCUCCUUCUGUCACCCGUUCUGGAGUGCAGUGGCGUGGACUGCAACCUCUGCU
Molecule: long non-coding RNA, 400 nt
Filed under: Homo sapiens (human)
Lineage: Eukaryota; Metazoa; Chordata; Mammalia; Primates; Hominidae
Description: HSALNT0237939
Source: RNAcentral